UAUGAGUAUCUUGAAUGCUCAAGCUCCACCUUCCGAACUUCCUCCUUCGGCUUCACGUCCACCAAACCCACAAACUAAAUACUGAAGAAUCUCUGUGAUUAGAUGAGGCAGUGGAGUUGCAUUGAAAGCUCUUAAGCAGUUAAACGGGUACAAAAUGGUUGGGGUCAUGGAAGUAUAUCAAGUCUGCAGGCCCAGAAAAUGAGUUAAUGAUCUGAAUUCUGAAGUAGUAAUGUACUAAUGUAGUAUCUAAGUAUCAAUGUAAUAUUGUCCAGUCAAGUAGUUCGUAGUAUAUGAAAAUUUGAAGGCCAUGAAAUUGACUUUGUUAAUUUAUUUUGUGU
Molecule: long non-coding RNA, 338 nt
Organism: Tripterygium wilfordii
Lineage: Eukaryota; Viridiplantae; Streptophyta; Magnoliopsida; Celastrales; Celastraceae
Exons: 2
Source: RefSeq, a predicted model, not a curated record